RNAcentral lists this transfer RNA (71 nucleotides) under Saccoglossus kowalevskii. RNAcentral's name for it is "tRNA-Gly". It matches the Rfam family "tRNA". From Rfam's summary of the family: Transfer RNA (tRNA) molecules are approximately 80 nucleotides in length. Their secondary structure includes four short double-helical elements and three loops (D, anti-codon, and T loops). The record is from RNAcentral. Lineage: Eukaryota; Metazoa; Hemichordata; Enteropneusta; Harrimaniidae.
GCAUUGGUGGUUCAGUGGUAGAAUUCUCGCCUGCCACGCGGGAGGGGCGGGUUCGAUUCCCGGCCAAUGCA